This 72-nucleotide transfer RNA is filed under the name Ictidomys tridecemlineatus (thirteen-lined ground squirrel). RNAcentral's name for it is "Spermophilus tridecemlineatus (thirteen-lined ground squirrel) tRNA". It matches the Rfam family "tRNA". Rfam says of the family: Transfer RNA (tRNA) molecules are approximately 80 nucleotides in length. The record is from Rfam by way of RNAcentral. Lineage: Eukaryota; Metazoa; Chordata; Mammalia; Rodentia; Sciuridae.
GGGGGUAUAAUUUAGUGGUAGAAUGUGUGGUUGGUAUGUUCAAUGCCCUGAGUUUAAUCCCCAGCACCCCCC